CCAAAAUAGGCAAGCCGAGUUUACUACUAACUCGUAAAAAGUAGUAAAUAAAUAAGUGCUAACUUAUUUGCAAGUCCAAAACUUGCUCCAGUUUACGCAUAAAAAAACGUAAACCAUCCGCUCAUCGACUCUCGAUAGGUGAAAACGGGUGCCAUAAAUCGAGAUAGACAAUUAUUUCUGCUUCAAGUAAUUGUUGAAAAUUAGAAGCUAAGAAUAUUAAAAUUUUGUCUAUUUUCAUAUUUAAUAUUCUAAAAAUAAAUAGACUAAACUUGUAGAACUAUUUUAG
Molecule: transfer-messenger RNA, 286 nt
Filed under: bacterium (Candidatus Gribaldobacteria) CG10_big_fil_rev_8_21_14_0_10_33_41
Lineage: Bacteria; Candidatus Gribaldobacteria
Rfam family: transfer-messenger RNA
About the family: Bacterial tmRNA, also known as 10Sa RNA or SsrA, is named for its dual tRNA and mRNA-like properties.
Source: RNAcentral